Molecule: RNA transcript, 2005 nt
Organism: Vitis riparia (riverbank grape)
Lineage: Eukaryota; Viridiplantae; Streptophyta; Magnoliopsida; Vitales; Vitaceae
Gene name: BES1/BZR1 homolog protein 4-like
Exons: 4
Source: RefSeq, a predicted model, not a curated record
CCAUUUAUUUGAUCGCUGGUUUAUUUUUUUAAAACCCGGCCAAUCCGGUUCACUGGCCGGUCUUCUUCGGCCUUGAUUCUUUCUCCGACCGGUUCAUACCACAAAAUCUCGACUCCCUAGCCAAGCCCAGUUUUCUGCUCCCGGAAUCGCUGUCAGAUCUUAUCAUCCGAGAGAAUUUUUUAUUCCAGGGCUUGUGAAAAGCGUUUUUCGAAUCGAACGACGUCGUACUGGUUCAAUUUUUUUUGGGCGGUGGAUUGUCUGCGAAGCAUGACAGGAACGAGGCUCCCAACAUGGAAGGAGAGGGAGAACAACAAGCGGAGAGAGAGGAGACGGCGGGCGAUCGCCGCGAAGAUCUACUCCGGUUUGCGUAUGUACGGUAACUAUAAACUGCCUAAGCACUGCGACAACAACGAGGUCUUGAAAGCUCUCUGCAACGAGGCCGGUUGGACGGUUGAAGAAGACGGCACCACUUACAGAAAGGGAUGCAAACCUGUGGAACGCAUGGAUAUUAUGGGUGGCUCAGCAUCAGCAAGUCCAUGCUCAUCAUACCAGCCAAGCCCAUGUGCCUCCUACAAUCCAAGCCCAUGUGCCUCCUAUAAUCCAAGCCCAUGUGCCUCCUACAAUCCAAGCCCUGCCUCUUCAUCUUUCCCAAGCCCUGUCUCAUCCCGUUAUGCUGCCAAUGCGAAUGUUAGUGCUGAUGCCAAUGCCCUCAUUCCAUGGCUCAAAAACCUCUCAUCUGGUUCAUCAUCAACUUCAUCCAAGUUCCCCCACCAUCUCUACAUCCAUGGAGGUUCUAUAAGUGCUCCAGUUACCCCUCCAUUGAGCUCUCCAACUGCCCGAACUCCACGACUCAAGAAUGACUGGGAUGAUACAACUGGUGGGCCAGGCUGGGCCGGGCAGCGCUACUUCCUGCCUUCUUCCACCCCUCCAAGCCCUGGCCGUCAGGUUCAUCCUGAUUCAGGAUGGUUUGCCGGUAUGCAAAUUCCCCAAGGUGGGCCAGCAUCUCCCACAUUCAGCCUUGUCUCAGCAAACCCAUUUGGUUUUAAAGAGGAGGUUUUAGCAGGUGGAGGAUCUCGAAUGUGGACUCCUGGGCAAAGUGGGACAUGCUCUCCUGCAGUUGCUGCGGGAUCUGAUCAUACAGCUGAUGUUCCAAUGGCAGAUGGGAUUGCAGCUGAGUUUGCAUUUGGCAGCAAUACAACAGGGUUGGUGAAGCCAUGGGAAGGAGAGAGGAUCCAUGAAGAAUGUGGAUCCGAUGAACUUGAGCUCACCCUUGGGAGCUCUAGAACCAGAUAAGAGGACAGAAGGAAAAUUGACCUUGGGUCUCAUGGUUUGGCUUUAAGCUUCUCGUUGUGCAAAAUGCAACUAGUUCUUACCAUGUUGAUGAUUUCAAAUUUGCAAUGUUUCAGUUGGGAAGGCAGAUCGAGUUUGAAAUACAGAUUUUGGAUGUGAAGAUCAACCGAUUGAUUAUGGAGUUCUCACCAUACUGGCACAUCUCUAUUAUUGUUCUCUAGAUCUGGUGAUGUGUUGCAUUUUCUCCAACUGAAUUAUUUGCUUGGGAUGGACAUCUUCAUUUGUCUCAUUACAAUCACCAUUAAUGCAUAUUAUUAAUUGAAGUUAAAGAAGGGCAAUGAGGAAAAAGUUCAAGUAUGUUCAGCAUUAGAGUGGGAUCCAAUCAUUCCUAUGAAUUAUGGAAUAGAUAUUGGAGUGGUCAAAAAGUUGUGAUGGAGGUUUUCAUUUAAUCAUAUUUUAGGGCAUCUUAAGAAUUCAGGGAAUAUGGGACAAACUUGCUGCAGUGGAUUCUGCGUAGACCAGCGACACACAGUUGUGUUUUGUCUUAAAAGGAUGAUGAAGAACUAGCAUCAUACUGUUGGAUGAGGCCGCAAGCGAUCGCAAUAGCAUUAUCCAUGGGAGAGUUGCAUAACAUGAAAUGGGUUGUGAGAAACUUCCAUGUAGGGGCUUGGCAAAACUAAGAAUCCGUGAUUUCAAUAAAUGUUUUUUUAUCCUU